UCGGGAUCGGCACGGCUCCCGGUGUCCCAAGACGGUGUCCCGUCCAAGCGCUGC
This 54-nucleotide non-coding RNA is filed under the name unclassified sequences. RNAcentral's name for it is "chromate-resist RNA". It matches the Rfam family "chrB-b RNA". The record is from RNAcentral.